This 471-nucleotide ribosomal RNA is filed under the name Rhodococcus (subgen. Prescottella) equi. Its description in RNAcentral is "Prescottella equi bacterial SSU rRNA". It matches the Rfam family "Bacterial small subunit ribosomal RNA", at positions 228 to 711 of the family's 1533-position model. Lineage: Bacteria; Bacillati; Actinomycetota; Actinomycetes; Mycobacteriales; Nocardiaceae. The record is from RNAcentral.
GGCCCGCGGCCUAUCAGCUUGUUGGUGGGGUAAUGGCCUACCAAGGCGACGACGGGUAGCCGGCCUGAGAGGGCGACCGGCCACACUGGGACUGAGACACGGCCCAGACUCCUACGGGAGGCAGCAGUGGGGAAUAUUGCACAAUGGGCGAAAGCCUGAUGCAGCGACGCCGCGUGAGGGAUGACGGCCUUCGGGUUGUAAACCUCUUUCAGCAGGGACGAAGCGAGAGUGACGGUACCUGCAGAAGAAGCACCGGCCAACUACGUGCCAGCAGCCGCGGUAAUACGUAGGGUGCGAGCGUUGUCCGGAAUUACUGGGCGUAAAGAGCUCGUAGGCGGUUUGUCGCGUCGUCCGUGAAAACUUGGGGCUCAACCCCAAGCUUGCGGGCGAUACGGGCAGACUUGAGUACUGCAGGGGAGACUGGAAUUCCUGGUGUAGCGGUGAAAUGCGCAGAUAUCAGGAGGAACACCG